AUUGAACGCUGGCGGCAGGCCUAACACAUGCAAGUCGAGCGGAUGAAGGGAGCUUGCUCCUGGAUUCAGCGGCGGACGGGUGAGUAAUGCCUAGGAAUCUGCCUGGUAGUGGGGGAUAACGUCCGGAAACGGGCGCUAAUACCGCAUACGUCCUGAGGGAGCAAGUGGGGGAUCUUCGGACCUCACGCUAUCAGAUGAGCCUAGGUCGGAUUAGCUAGUUGGUGGGGUAAAGGCCUACCAAGGCGACGAUCCGUAACUGGUCUGAGAGGAUGAUCAGUCACACUAGAACUGGGACACGGUCCAGACUCCUACGGGAGGCAGCAGUGGGGAAUAUUAGACAGUGGGCGAAAACCUGAUCCAGCCAUGCCGCGUGUGUGAAGAAGGUCUUCGGAUUGUAAAGCACUUUAAGUUGGGAGGAAGGGCAGUAAGUUAAUACCUUGCUGUUUUGACGUUACCAACAGAAUAAGCACCGGCUAACUUCGUG
RNAcentral lists this ribosomal RNA (484 nucleotides) under uncultured bacterium. RNAcentral describes it as "partial 16S ribosomal RNA". It matches the Rfam family "Bacterial small subunit ribosomal RNA", at positions 30 to 507 of the family's 1533-position model. The record is from RNAcentral.